ACCUCUGGAAGAGUUUACAAUUCGUAGUUUACUUAAGAGUCAUGACAGACCCUCAAUUGUUCAUUUAAAUUGUGCAGUCAUCAAAGGUAAAUCGGGUUACGCCCUUUUAAGCGAUAUAAAAUAUCUUCUACGAGAAGCAACAAAAUAAUACUUAGGAUGGCAUUGAUCACGAAAAUCAGUUUCAUUUCCGUAAUAUUCUAUUGAAAUUUGAGAAUAAGUUACACACUAACGAUUACCGAUAAAUUUACGUUAUAUCGAUAAGGAACAAAAGACUAGUGAGAAUGAAGAAAUUGUACCGUUUGGAUUGCUUGAUGGCCUUCGCAUGCGAGACUCUUCCCCACAUCGUCAGGUCCGAAGACCCAGCUAAUUUUCUAGGCGUGGCUCGCUGAAAGGGGUUAUUACAUUCUAAGCUGAUAAAUCAAUACCACGUAUUACACGAUAGAAAGAGCGGAAAUGUCAUGAGUUGUGAGGAAUAUUUUGUUACAGUUCAUCGUCAGGGCAGCGAUUCAUUAUGUUAAAGCGCGAAUUUUCAAAAGUGAAAAAAACAAAGCAUAUCCAUAUAUACCAUGGAAGUACACAUUGAAUUACACGUUAUCCGUCGAUGAUAUUCUAGUAUCUAAGAUUAUCAACGACUUCUAAAACUUCUGCAAUGCUUCAGGAAAUACCAUAUAUUAUCGUGCUGGAAUAACCAACAAGGUAUAUCCUUUUGAAACAUCGUCCUUUUCUCUGCCUUUCCCGUGGUACCAUGUUCAAUACCGUGUUCGUCAGCUGAUCGAUAUUAAACGGAAAGGGAAAGAAUGAAUACAAAAGUUAUAAUGGCCAUGACGACGAACCUGCUCGAGUCUAAUAUAGUACAGUUUCACGAAGCUACAGAGAGAACAUCCCUUCAAAGGAACCAAAGCUAAGCAGCUUCGUAAGAGGAUAUAAGCGAUUGCGUUCGGAAAAGUUCGUCGAAGAGACAUCAGACGGUGCACGCGAAUCGUGGAUCAAAGUGGAAUUUUUGCUCUAAUGAAGGAACGUUCCUUCGUAUAUAAGAAGAUUACUUCGCGGAAUCUUUAUAGAUUCCAUCUUUUUGAACCCUCAAAAGAAUUCAAUGCAGCCGGGAAAGUAAGAUAAAGAUCAAUUAAAACGUCGACUGUGUUCCUGUUUAUCGAACUAUGUUUAUUUUGAUAGCAAUUAUUUAGGAAAUUAUAUAUACCGUAACUAUAUUUAUUUCAUUGCCAUGAGUGAAAUUGACAACGAUAAGGAAAAACUUGGGGCGAUUAAGAAUGAUUCCGAAAAGGAACAUCUGCGAAUCAAUCUUGAAGAAGAAGAGGAAGAAGGAGGAGAUACAGGAUAUGAAGAUGGCCAAGGUGAGUGUAAAGAUUAUUCGUCCACGCUCGCACACGAUUUAUUAGACGAUAGAUUUUAUCUCGACGACGAUGAUUCCACAGAUAAAUUUAAUUCUAGUCAAAACGAUGUUCGUCUUUCGGAAAUUUUCUAACACGGUGUAUCCUAAGAUCGAAGUUAUACGGAUCGUCGAGACCUAUCGGAGAUAAUAAAAUAAUAAGGAAAAAACAGAAAAUGAUAUCGAGAAUAGAAACGAUUAUGAGAAUGGAAGGUUUAAUCAUGAAUUGCAGGAUAAGCUCAUAAAAGUCGAAAUAAAAUUAAGGUAGAUUUAAAUGAUUAAAUUUUCAAAACGGUUAAACCUGUAGGGACGAUUAAAGGAUUUACCGAUUUGUUCCAUAUUUACGUCACAUUGACAUCGUUAUUCCAUCAAAUUAAAUUAAGUAAUCAUUUGCUUAAAUUAAAAACUGAUGAUAUGUUGAAUCAAUCUUCUAAGGUGCUUGUCAUAAUAUUCUCUUCGUUUGCUUAAAAGAGAUUAAUAAUAUUUAAUUAACGUUUUAGUGUAAUAUUGUAAAUUCAACGAUGUAAUUUGCUAUGUAGUCAGGAUUCUCUCGUUAGUACGUUUUGAUUGGGAUUUGAAGAAAAUCCAUCUGCAUAUUACGAUCCUCCCUACGUAUCAAGUACCUUCGUUUUAAUCGAUUAGGUAUUAUUUCUCUCCAUCCUUGAUUGUCCUUUGGCACGCUUGGAUGGAGCAGUACAGGUGGACGGGAAUGAGUGGCUCGGUCCUGUGAACGUAACACGCGUAUCUGAUUUUGAUAACAUGACAGGUAUUUUUUCAUUUGUCUAUCCCUUAUCAAACGAAUAACAGCAUCAGACAAUUGGAUGAUACGAUUGUAUAACUCAAUUAUCUAUUUAAAUGUAUCCUUUAAUCACUCGGCUACAUCUUUUCAUAGCUAUGGACGCGAUACUGAUUUAAUUAUUCCGUUCAAAGGAGUACAUUUUCCUUGAAAUUAGCUCCCUGUUGAGGAAGUGAAAACAAUGAUCCAAUAAUCCCUCCAGUUAUAUAAUACUUCGUAUAUUAUAUUCCAAACUAAUCAAUUCCUAAGAAAAAAUUUUAUUUGUUAAUUUUUAUUUGAGAAUUGGCUGUUUCUAUUGCGUAUAAACAAGCACA
Molecule: long non-coding RNA, 2497 nt
Organism: Vespula vulgaris
Lineage: Eukaryota; Metazoa; Arthropoda; Insecta; Hymenoptera; Vespidae
Exons: 3
Source: RefSeq, a predicted model, not a curated record